UGACAACAGUUACUGAACCCUAUCAAACUCCGAAUGCCAUAUACUUGUACCCCGGCAGUCAGACUACGAAUGAUAAGAUCCGUGGUCAAAAGGGAAACAGCCCAGACCAUCAGCUAAGGUCCCAAAGUGUAAGUUAAGUGGGAAAGGAUGUGGGAUUUCUAAGACAACUAGGAUGUUGGCUUAGAAGCAGCCACUCAUUUAAAGAGUGCGUAAUAGCUCACUAGUCGAGAGAUCCUGCGCCGAAGAUGUAACGGGGCUCAAACUUACCACCGAAGCUAUGGAUGUGUACUUUGUACACGUGGUAGAGGAGCUUUCUGUACAGGUUGAAGUCAUACCGUAAGGAGUGGUGGACAGUACAGAAGUGAGAAUGCUGGCAUAAGUAGCGAAAAACAAGUGAGAAUCUUGUUGACCGAAUAUCUAAGGUUUCCUGGGGAAGGCUCGUCCUCCCAGGGUUAGUCGGGACCUAAGCCGAGGCCGAAAGGCGUAGGUGAUGGACAACUGGUUGAUAUUCCAGUACCACCAUAAUGCGUUUGACAAAUGGGAUGACGCAGGAGGAUAGGAUGUGCGCACUAUUGGAUGUGCGUCUAAGCACUUAGGGUGUUAAGUAGGCAAAUCCGCUUAACAUUAAGCCUGAGGUGUGAUGGGGAGCCUAUUUUGGCGAAGUAUCUGAUUCCACGCUGCCAAGAAAAGUCUCUAUGGAGCAAA
RNAcentral lists this ribosomal RNA (705 nucleotides) under Clostridium sp. K25. RNAcentral describes it as "bacterial LSU rRNA". It matches the Rfam family "Bacterial large subunit ribosomal RNA", at positions 927 to 1634 of the family's 2925-position model. Lineage: Bacteria; Bacillati; Bacillota; Clostridia; Eubacteriales; Clostridiaceae. The record is from RNAcentral.